UACGGGGGGGGUAAGCGUUGUUCGGAAUUACUGGGCGUAAAGGGCUCGUAGGCGGCCAACUAAGUCAGACGUGAAAUCCCUCAGCUUAACUGGGGAACUGCGUCUGAUACUGGAUGGCUUGGAUUUGGGAGAGGGAUGCGGAAUUCCAGGUGUAGCGGUGAAAUGCGUAGAUAUCUGGAGGAACACCGGUGGCGAAGGCGGCAUCCUGGACCAACACUGACGCUGAGGAGCGAAAGCCAGGGGAGCAAACGGG
This 253-nucleotide ribosomal RNA is filed under the name uncultured bacterium. Its description in RNAcentral is "partial 16S ribosomal RNA". It matches the Rfam family "Bacterial small subunit ribosomal RNA", at positions 524 to 776 of the family's 1533-position model. The record is from RNAcentral.